This 468-nucleotide ribosomal RNA is filed under the name uncultured bacterium. RNAcentral describes it as "partial 16S ribosomal RNA". It matches the Rfam family "Bacterial small subunit ribosomal RNA", at positions 28 to 507 of the family's 1533-position model. The record is from RNAcentral.
GACGAACGCUGGCGGCGUGCCUAACACAUGCAAGUCGAACGGAAAGGCCCUGCUUUUGCGGGGUGCUCGAGUGGCGAACGGGUGAGUAACACGCGAGUAACCUCCCCUUGACAUUGGGAUAACUCCAGGAAACUGGGGCUAAUAUCGGAUAGGAGCUCUUGCUCCACGGUGGGGGUUGGAAAGAUUCGGCGGUUGGGGAUGGACUCGCGGCUUAUCAGCUUCAUGGUGGAGUAGUGGCUUACCAAGGCUUUGACGGCUAGCCGGCCUGAGAGGGCAACCAGCCACAUUAGUACUAAUAUACGGCCCAGACUCCUACGGGAGGCAGCAGUGGGGAAUAUUACGCAAUAAGGGGAAGCCUGAUGCAGCGACGCCGCGUGCGGGAUAACGGCCUACGGGUUGAAAACAGCUUUCGCCUGUAACGUAGCGUGAGUGACGGUAAUGAGUAAAGAAGCACCGGCUAACUACGUG